UCCUCUCGCGAGAGAAGGACGGAAAGCUGCCAUCUUGGCUUCCGGUGUUUCCACCCGUCUUGUGGCACAGUGGUUUGGGCGGCGACACGCGAGGCCUGGGCUAUAGUUGAAUGGGAGGAACAGGGCGGAAACUGCGGCUGGGCGACCACGUGCCUGACUCCCGCGGUGUGGCUCUCUCGUCCUCAGUCCCAGGAGCCCGAACUCCGCCCUGGGGAUCUGGAGUGGGAUGUGCACCGGCUGAUGCGUUUGAGGGGCCAAGUCGUGAGAGCAUCAUCUUCUUGGAAGGUAAAAUUGGGUCCAGAAUGACCUUCCGAUAUAACGGUCUGCACUCUAGCUUGAGAUGCAAAGCAGGUUAUGAAGUAUAUACCGUGAUAACCAAGCAACUGGACUCAGCCCAGGCUGAAGGCUGCUAAAGUGUGCCCAUAAAAGAAUUGCACUGUUGAGCUUCUCUGUGGUUGACUACUCCUCCUGCACGUGUGAUGAGAGCCAGGAGUUUCCAUCAACUGGAUCUGCAUUAUCUAAACCUAGUGAUGCAUUAGAGGCAUUUUAACAAAUAAUAAUAGCCAGUCAUAAAGAAGAAGAAAGAAGGAAGGAGGGAAGGAAGGAAGGAAGGAAGGAAGGGAGGAAAGAAAGAAAGAA
Molecule: long non-coding RNA, 639 nt
Organism: Alexandromys fortis (reed vole)
Lineage: Eukaryota; Metazoa; Chordata; Mammalia; Rodentia; Cricetidae
Exons: 4
Source: RefSeq, a predicted model, not a curated record